RNAcentral lists this ribosomal RNA (497 nucleotides) under uncultured bacterium. RNAcentral describes it as "partial 16S ribosomal RNA". It matches the Rfam family "Bacterial small subunit ribosomal RNA", at positions 28 to 507 of the family's 1533-position model. The record is from RNAcentral.
GAUGAACGCUGGCGGCGUGCCUAAUACAUGCAAGUCGAGCGAACGGACGAGAAGCUUGCUUCUCUGAUGUUAGCGGCGGACGGGUGAGUAACACGUGGAUAACCUACCUAUAAGACUGGGAUAACUUCGGGAAACCGGAGCUAAUACCGGAUGAUAUUUUGAACCGCAUGGUUCAAAAGUUAAAGACGGUCUUGCUGUCACUGAUAGAUGGAUCCGCGCUGCAUUAGCUAGUUGGUAAGGUAACGGCUUACCAAGGCAACGAUGCAUAGCCGACCUGAGAGGGUGAUCGGCCACACUGGAACUGAGACACGGUCCAGACUCCUACGGGAGGCAGCAGUAGGGAAUCUUCCGCAAUGGGCGAAAGCCUGACGGAGCAACGCCGCGUGAGUGAUGAAGGUCUUCGGAUCGUAAAACUCUGUUAUUAGGGAAGAACAUAUGUGUAAGUAACUGUGCACAUCUUGACGGUACCUAAUCAGAAAGCCACGGCUAACUACGUG